Molecule: ribosomal RNA, 371 nt
Filed under: uncultured organism
Description: partial 16S ribosomal RNA
Rfam family: Bacterial small subunit ribosomal RNA
Source: RNAcentral
GUAGGUGGCAAGCGUUGCCCGGAAUUAUUGGGCGUAAAGCGCGCGCAGGCGGUUCUUUAAGUCUGAUGUGAAAGCCCAGGCUCAACCGUGGAGGGUCAUUGGAAACUGGAGAACUUGAGUACAGAAGAGGAAAGCGGAAUUCCACGUGUAGCGGUGAAAUGCGUAGAGAUGUGGAGGAACACCAGUGGCGAAGGCGGCUUUCUGGUCUGUAACUGACGCUGAGGCGCGAAAGCGUGGGGAGCAAACAGGAUUAGAUACCCUGGUAGUCCACGCCGUAAACGAUGAGUGCUAAGUGUUAGGGGGUUUCCGCCCCCCUUAGUGCUGCAGCUAACGCAUUAAGCACUCCGCCUGGGAGUACGGCCGCAAGGCUG